Molecule: non-coding RNA, 371 nt
Organism: Candidatus Falkowbacteria bacterium CG1_02_37_21
Lineage: Bacteria; Candidatus Falkowiibacteriota
Source: Rfam
UAGGGUAAGCGGGCGAUCGCUCUUCUUUUUUAAAGAAGAGAGGAAAGUCCGGACUUCAAGCAAAACGAUAGUGGGUAACGCCCACCGGGUUUGCGAUAAUAAUCGUAAAUUUAGGGAUAGUGCCACAGAGACAAUACUAAUUCUGGAAUUUGACAGGAUUAAAGGUGAAAAGUAAUCGGGUGUCUUUAGAGGCUACCGAUUUCGGCCUCCGGUGACGGAGAGACCGUGGUAAACCCUAUCGGAAGCAAGAGUAAACUGGUUUUUUCUUUUUGACUAAACCAAGAAAAGUGGCUCGCUCGAGCCCAUUAGAGAUAUUGGGCCUAGAUAAAUGAUCGCUAGAACAGAAUCCGGCUUACGGCUGUCCUGAUAAC